UGGGGAAUAUUGGACAAUGGACCAAGAGUCUGAUCCAGCAAUUCUGUGUGCACGAUGAAGUUUUUCGGAAUGUAAAGUGCUUUCAGUUGGGAAGAAAGAAAUGACGGUACCAACAGAAGAAGUGACGGCUAAAUACGUGCCAGCAGCCGCGGUAAUACGUAUGUCACGAGCGUUAUCCGGAUUUAUUGGGCGUAAAGCGCGUCUAGGUGGUUAUGUAAGUCUGAUGUGAAAAUGCAGGGCUCAACUCUGUAUUGCGUUGGAAACUGUAUAACUAGAGUACUGGAGAGGUAAGCGGAACUACAAGUGUAGAGGUGAAAUUCGUAGAUAUUUGUAGGAAUGCCGAUGGGGAUGCCAGCUUACUGGACAGAUACUGACGCUAAAGCGCGAAAGCGUGGGUAGCAAACAGG
RNAcentral lists this ribosomal RNA (407 nucleotides) under bacterium. RNAcentral's name for it is "partial 16S ribosomal RNA". It matches the Rfam family "Bacterial small subunit ribosomal RNA", at positions 355 to 776 of the family's 1533-position model. The record is from RNAcentral.